This 293-nucleotide long non-coding RNA is filed under the name Capsicum annuum. Its description in RNAcentral is "long non-coding RNA (CANN_LNC018065)". The record is from RNAcentral. Lineage: Eukaryota; Viridiplantae; Streptophyta; Magnoliopsida; Solanales; Solanaceae.
UGCGUUGGCCAAGUGACAUCCACAAUCAAGACAACAACUUCUUUACCCUGGAGGAAUUACCACAAAGUGAUGGAGGCCCUUACAGUAUGGAUCAAGCACACCUGCCCUCAAAAUAAUACAACAAAAAUAAAAAGGCAUGGAAAGUUUAACCAGACGAGGGACAUCUUCUCUUUUUAUCAAAAAUAAACACUAAUACAAUCAUCCAACUAUCUCCUCUUAUAAUCAAAAAUUGUAUUCUUUACACCAACCACAAAUACAAUCAGGCAACACUUUCCACUUCAACUUAGGCAUAA